This 253-nucleotide ribosomal RNA is filed under the name uncultured bacterium. RNAcentral's name for it is "partial 16S ribosomal RNA". It matches the Rfam family "Bacterial small subunit ribosomal RNA", at positions 524 to 776 of the family's 1533-position model. The record is from RNAcentral.
CACGUAGGGCGCAAGCGUUGUCCGGAAUUAUUGGGCGUAAAGAGCUCGUAGGUGGUCUGUUACGUCUGCUGUGAAAUCCUAGGGCUUAACCCUGGGCCUGCAGUGGAUACGGGCAGACUAGAGGUAGGUAGGGGAGAAUGGAAUUCCCGGUGUAGCGGUGAAAUGCGCAGAUAUCGGGAGGAACACCGGUGGCGAAGGCGGUUCUCUGGGCCUUACCUGACACUGAGGAGCGAAAGCGUGGGGAGCGAACAGG